UACAGAGGGUGCGAGCGUUAAUCGGAAUUACUGGGCGUAAAGCGUGCGUAGGUGGUUUUGUGCGUCUGUUGUGAAAUCCCCGGGCUUAACCUGGGAAUUGCAUCAGAUACGGCAAGACUAGAAUCGGUCAGAGGGUAGUGGAAUUCCCGGUGUAGCGGUGAAAUGCGUAGAUAUGCGGAGGAACACCGAUGGCGAAGGCAGUCCCCUGGGCCUGUACUGACGCUCAUGCACGAAAGCGUGGGGAGCAAACAGG
This 253-nucleotide ribosomal RNA is filed under the name uncultured bacterium. Its description in RNAcentral is "partial 16S ribosomal RNA". It matches the Rfam family "Bacterial small subunit ribosomal RNA", at positions 524 to 776 of the family's 1533-position model. The record is from RNAcentral.